UGCUUUACACCGAAACCCUAGCCUGUUUCUUCCUUUGGCUUGAAGCUUCUACCAUACGCUUUCCUGAAAUCCUGAUGUAUCAUACGCUUAUUCUUCUUCUUCUUCUACCUGCAUCUCAUUCUCUCUGAAUCACUUGUGCUUGAAUGGCUUAACAAAGGAUUCCAAAAUCAAGGUUAUUCACUUCCAGGUAUCCCCAUUCUAAACCCUAGCCUCCCUUUCCUCUUUCUUCUAGAUUAAUCAUCGCAAUCUUCACCACUGAUUAAGGAUCAAGUAGAUGUUGAUCAAUCACUACAAAAAUGAAUACAUAUAUGUGAUUCGACUAAAGGAAGAUGGUGACGUUGGUGGUGGUCUGAAGAGAAAUGACGACGACAGUGGUUGAUUUAGGGUUUCUUCAGUUCGGGUAGUGAUGGUUGAUUUAGGGAUUGUGAAAUCGAUUCUCUCCGGCUCCUCUCUGCCUCAACCGAUACUAGGGUUUUGCCAUUGAUUGUUUUUUUAGGGAGGUCAGAUUGGUAACUGAUGCUACUGAACUACUGUGGUAGCCUUUACAGAAAUCUUUAUAUUGUAAAUUAGUUUGAAUUUGGGCCAAGUUCAAUGUGUCCAUUAGCUCGAGUAAAUACCCGAGACCGAUUUUAUCAAGAUAUUAAGACUGAUGACCGACAUGCUAUGUUAGAGCCUGGUGAGCUUAACUAUGCAGAAGAUCGCAUUUAGAUAUACAUAACAAUGGGAGCUCAUGAGCGUCGUGUUGGUUUCAUGUACCGAGAGGGGUUCUCUAAAGUAAGCUACUGCAUUUUUUAGAAAUUAAAAGGGUAAAUUGAUGUUUGGGUUGACCCAUGUGUUCCCUAAGUUAUGUUUAUUGCUAUUUAGUAUAUAGGAUGAAAGAUGUUGUAAUCUAUCAAUUAGCUUAUCAUAUACUGUUGAAACUUUCAG
RNAcentral lists this long non-coding RNA (927 nucleotides) under Helianthus annuus (common sunflower). Its description in RNAcentral is "hypothetical non coding rna". The record is from RNAcentral. Lineage: Eukaryota; Viridiplantae; Streptophyta; Magnoliopsida; Asterales; Asteraceae.